GUGAAUCAUCGAAUUUUUGAACGCAAAUUGCGCUCCCUGGGAUCCCGGGGAGUAUGCCUGUUUGAGGGUCAGUAAAAUUAAAAUAUCGGUUUAGUUACAAAUUGUGACGUUGCCGGUGUUGGGGCUAUCUUAACUUUUUUGGUUAAGAGGUUUAAAAUUGAUCUUUUUUGCGCAUAAUUAAACGUAGAUAAAUUUUUUUUAUGCGUAUGUUCUCAAUGUUAAUAUCAUAUUAGCUUUGAUCCUA
Molecule: unclassified non-coding RNA, 244 nt
Filed under: Glomeromycetes sp.
Lineage: Eukaryota; Fungi; Glomeromycota; Glomeromycetes
Description: partial contains 5.8S ribosomal RNA and internal transcribed spacer 2
Rfam family: 5.8S ribosomal RNA (bases 1-71)
Source: RNAcentral